UAGCUUACGCGGAAGUGGGAGUUCUCGUGGACGCAUUCCUGCUCGAAUAAAAAACGGGGGCCAUCAUCCACCUCCUCUCCGCGGAUUCAGAUUACAUAUUCGCUCGAUCGAUCGAUUUGGACCGAACGCUCACCAUGAAGACCCUCUUCAACCGAAAACCCAACCCCAAAGAAGCUCUUCGAGAGAGCAAGAGAGAGAUGAAUCAGGCCACCAGAGGCAUAGAGAAGGAGAUUGGAGCACUUCAGCUAGAAGAGAAAAAACUAGUUGCUGAGAUAAAGAGAACCGCUAAAACAGGAAAUGAGGCAGCUACUAAAAUUCUAGCCCGCCAGCUAGUUAGGCUAAGACAACAAAUAGCAAACUUGCAAGGAAGUCGAGCUCAAAUGAGAGGCAUCGCAACUCACACACAGGCAAUGUAUGCUCAGUCUUCGAUUGCUGUCGGCAUGGAAGGUGCUAGCAAGGCAAUGUCAGCUAUAAAUAAGCAAAUGGCCCCAGCAAAGCAAGCAAAUGUUAUUCAGGAAUUUCAAAAGCAGUCGGCUCAAAUGGAUAUGACUACCGAAAUGAUGUCAGAUGCUAUUGACGAUGCAUUGGACAAUGAUGAGGCUGAAGAUGAAACUGAAGAGUUGACAAAUCAGGUGUUGGAUGAGAUUGGUGUUGAUGUUGCCUCGCAGUUGUCAACUGCUCCAAAAGGAAGAAUUGCAACAAAGCAAAGUGAGGAUGUUGGCAGUUCGGGAAUUGAUGAGCUUGAGAAGCGGUUGGCAGCGCUAAAGAAUCCAUGAGCUGAAGAUUGAGAAAUGAAAAUAUGAUGAAUUGACAAGUAGAGGAUCAUUCAUAUUUGUUCCAACUUGUACACUGGUACAAAGCAUAAGUUCCCGAAGUUGGUUUUAGUCCUCUAGGGGCUGCGCAAUUGCUCCGGACAAGAAAAUACCAAAAUAAAAUUAACGGAUUUCUCUUUUCCUUACUGGGGAUGGAAAUGGAUUGGCUUUAAUAUGGUUCCCAUCGUCCCACCCAACCCUAAUACGACAAACUGUGUAGACGCAUAAUUUGGUCGAAGUAAGUACAUUAUUCCUUGUUAU
Molecule: RNA transcript, 1073 nt
Organism: Rhodamnia argentea
Lineage: Eukaryota; Viridiplantae; Streptophyta; Magnoliopsida; Myrtales; Myrtaceae
Gene name: vacuolar protein sorting-associated protein 2 homolog 3
Exons: 12
Source: RefSeq, a predicted model, not a curated record